This 1659-nucleotide ribosomal RNA is filed under the name Triticum aestivum (bread wheat). RNAcentral's name for it is "partial small subunit ribosomal RNA". Lineage: Eukaryota; Viridiplantae; Streptophyta; Magnoliopsida; Poales; Poaceae. The record is from RNAcentral.
AUUGAUAUUUUGGUGCAAAAGGGUCAUAAAAGAGACUUGUCUAUUGAGCAUGGUCCUAGAGACAAAUUAUCUAGAAGGUUUUCUGCAUCGGCAUACAAUAGAGUUCUUCCAAAUGGUGAAAGUGUGAUAGAGAAUGCCUUGUAUACAUCAAAAAGCUUGACAAAAUAUUUUGUUUGUUGCUGCAAAUUAUUGAGAAAGGGUCUUGUGAGAGGAUCGUUAGCAAAUGAUGGUUUCAAUGAUUGGAUACAUCUUAAUAAUUCACUUAAAAAGCAUUAAAAUAGUAGAGAACAUGUCACAAAUAUGAAUACAUGGUAUGACUUGCGUAUGAGGUUUCAGAAUAAUCAAACAAUUGAUAAAGUUGCUCAGCGAGAACUUGAAAAGGAAAGCGAGCAUUGGAGAAAAGAUUUUUACAUGAUUGUUUCGAUUGUACAAUUUCUUGAAGAACAUACCAUAGCAUUUCAUGGCAGCAAUAGCAAGUUGUAACAAGACAACAAUGGCAAUUUCUUAGGACUGCUUCAAAUUUUGGCUCAAUUUGAUCCAAUUAUGAAACAUGUUAAUUGCAUUACCAAUGAUAAAACCCGUGAUCAUUAUCUUGGUCCUUCCAUCCAGAAUGAGUUGAUAACUUUGCUAGCUACUGUAAUCAGGUCAGAAAUUGUUAAAAAGGUUAAAAAAGUGAAAUACUUCUUAGUUACACUUGAUUGUACUCCUGGUUCAAGCCACCAAGAACAAAUGUCUUUGAUAAUAAGGUAUGUUGAUGUAUCUUCGGGCUCUGUUGCAGAAUCAUUCUUAGGUUUUUUGGAUGUGAAUGAUACCACCGAGCACAUAUUGUUUGAUGUUCUAUAAGAGGAAUUGAGGAGUCUUGAACUUGAUAUAGACAAUGUGCGAGGGCAAUGAUAUGACAAUGGGUCGAACAUGAAAGGAACAUCAAGGGGUACAAAGAAACCGUUGAAUAUAAAUCCAUGAGCUUUUUACUCAGCUUGUGGUUAUCAUAGUUUGAACUUGACACUAUCUGAUAUGGAAAAUUCAUGUCAUAAAGUAACUAAUUUUUUUGGAGUUUUUAAGAACAUCUAUACAACAUUUGCUAAUUCUACUAAGAGGAAAAUUCUUAAGGAUAAUAUAAGAAGAUUGACUCUCAAGUCAUUGUCAGCUACUCGUUGGGAGAGUCGUGUUGAUAGUGUUAAGGCUAUAAGGUUUCAGAUCUUAGAUAUAAGGGAAGCUUUGCCACAAGUGGCGGAAAGUGAUAAAGAUCCGUUAACAAGUAUAUCUACAAUCAUAUGGUAUGAUAUAUUAUCUUCUGUUAAUUUGGUCAGCAAGCAACUAGAAUCAAAGGAUAUGCUUAUUGAUAUUGCAAUUGAGUAUGUAUAGGGGCUGAUUUCCCUUUUCAAUAAGUAUACGGAAACUGGCUAUUCAAAAGCAUUAGAAGCUGCAAAAGAAAUUGUGAUGGAGAUGGAUAUUCAUACAGGGUUCCGCACAAAGCAUAAAAUCAAAAGAAAAAGAUAGUUUGAUGAGGUGGACAUGAUGCAUUUCUUGAUUCACAACCUACAGAAAAGUGUUAGGGUCAGUUAUUUUAUACUUGUUGUUGAUCAAGCUAUAGCUUCUCUUACCAGAAGAUUUGAACAAUAUCAGGAGCAUGAAAAAAUAAUAUCUUGUUUACUUUAG